UGAUUCAUACUUUGCACAGAGCGGACAGGCUGAAGAGCAAGAUCCGAUUUCUGUGCGCCCUGGGCGGCAUAACCACCAACAAGACAGACACAUGUCCUCCCAAACUGGGUUUUUCCGCACUGCAGGUCUACAGCGAAGCCACCAGACCCAUAAUGCCAGAUUACAACUAGCACCAGACCCAUAGUGACAGGAGUCGCUGGUGCAUGGUGAACUGAGGAUUACCCUGCCGACCUGAACCCUCCCCACACGGGCGCUGCUCGGCCAACUGUGCGGCAUCCCCUUGAUCGGCGAUGACUCGAACCAGCGAUCUCCAGGCUAUAUGGCACAUCCUGCACUCCACAUGAAGCACCUUUACUAGAUGCGCCACUCAGGAGCCCCCUGAGCAGGUUCUCCAUUGUAAUCCAAGUUUACCACUGUAAAUUUUUAGUACAUGUUUUCCCUUACUCUGCAAAUAGAAUAUACUGUAUGUCAAGCCAACCUUCCCUUUAACCAUUCAGUCAAUCAGAGGCUUACACAUGUUAGUGGCAAUCAAUAAGAUUACAAUACGUUUCCAGACACAUGUAUUAGGCCAACAGUAAAGACACAUGACAAUAAUGAACCCUGUAUUUCAGAAACUAAGUGGGUUGAGCUUGGUCCAUGCUUGGAUGGGAAACUUGCAAAGAAAGUCACCUGUUUUAAUACUAAAAGAAGCUUAGUACACUUUUUUUGAUGAAUGUUUCAACUACAUAUCAUUCUCUACACUUUAAAACCUGUUGCUUAGUGUUAGGUGAGUGAAAAGAAGCGAUUAGUUUGACAGUGAGAAGUCACCUGUUGAUCUUCAGUAUCUGAUCAGUAAGUGGCAACAAUCUAAUUGGGCAUUUCAAAUCAGGGUGUAAAAAUUGUGUUCUUGGCAGCCUGGCAUUAGUAGGGUACAGUGUGCGUGGGGCGCUUUCCAUGUUUAUGACCUGUCUCUUCAUUGUGAACCAAGGUCAUUAAGUCACGCUCCUCCUCUAGGGCUUCAACUAUGAGCUUGUCUUGGAAAAGAGAAUCACAUCACACUAGGAUCUGUCAUAUAGGUUUACACAAAACAGUUUAGCCUGCAUAAAAAAAGAAACUAGAAUCAAGCUCCUCAUAAAGGACAUAAGAAAUAAGGUGAAUGGAAUGUGCCUUCUUGAAGCUGUAUGGCUCUCCCGAGGCCUCCUCAAAUAAAGGCAUUCUGGCUCUAGAGCGGGAGACUUGCAAAUCAGUUUCCAGCUUCUCUUCCUGUGCCGACCUGCUGGAAUCUGCUGUUAUUGUUGGCAGGGUGCCCUUAGAAGAAAAUCCCCUCCCAGAGAAGUGCUAGGAAAAUGCUGAUGACAUGACACCUUCUGAAAGGUCCUAGAAACAAUCAUGAAACAGUCAUCCUCAGCGGUCUAGCGGUAGUCUGUUCAACAUAAAUUAUACAGUCCAUUCAUACACACUGGUGUAGGGGGACUGGUCCAUUCCCAAGAGUAGCUUAGUUUUUGUUUGAUAUUCUAAAUAUAUUUCGUAAUAUUACCAGUUACCAUACAUUUAAUCUGUUGAACAUCUUGUUUUGCCAUAUGAAUAAAGACCAAUAGUGUAUCAGCUGACCGAGGGCAGAAUAAAAUACCAAUACAGCUGAGGUCAUUUAUGUCAUCAGAGAGCUGAGAAUGUAGCUUGAUUGCAUUUGCCCCUCAUAAAGGUUUAACCACAUUUUGCAGUUUUCCCUAUUAAGUCUAUGCAUACCUCUCUGGGCAUUACCAUGCUUACCGAUGAUAUUUCAUGCUUUUAUAAUGCUUUAUUACACUUUAUUAUACUUUUACUAUGGGGAAGCUUUAUAAGGGACUGUGUCCUGGAAAAACAUACCUUAGGAAGCACAUUGCACCCGUCUGUGAUAAUAAACCUCAAAUUGUAUAGUUCGCAAUGCAGGUUAUUUUCAAGUCCAUUAGCACCCAAUAACAGACCUGGAGUCAGCCAUGUAAUACACAGAGUACAAGUUCUGAAGUAAAUAAGAAAUAUUAUUAUAAAACUGUUAAUCAUAGACUUUUAGAAACUUCAAGUGAUGACUUCAAUUAUUAAUUCUUAUUCACUAUGAAAGUAUCAGAGUAAAUACAGCCAUUGAGUGUGCAAUAAACUUGUCACACUGUACCCCCUCACUGCCAGAGUUCACUAGGCUCAGUACUUUGUUCCUGUCUGUAUACAGUGUGUGUAACUAUAGUACGGCAUGAAUAAACAAAGGUUAUCUUGUCCCUACACAGAAUGCUUUACAGGGAGAACUAGGGGGAGGUUUUCAGGAAAGUCACAGUGUAACAAAAUAAAGAGAAAGUACACAAGCUGUUUAAAAAGGGCAUAGUUCAAUUAAUUUGAUUCCAUAUAAACACAUCAUUGGAGCCAGCUUUUAAACCCCAGAGCCUUACUGAAGUAGGAAAAUAUUACAUUUCUGAAUGUGCCUCUGUCUCUCUAUUGUUAGCAUGUACAGCUGGAUAUGUCUCCUCUUUAAAUGAUCCCCAGUGACACAUCCAGGAAAGGUUUUACUGUGCCGGAGUGAAGAGUUAGUCAUGCAAUCAGGAGCUCACUGGUUUGAAUCCAAUGACUGGUCAGGCACUUCCCAAAGCCAGGCAGAGAUUUCCCAGGCUGGGCCCUUGUCUCUAAGGUUCAGAAUAGCUUGGUUCAGAAGAUUGGCAGAGGUGAUUCGCUUGACAGGGGUUGCCCAUUGAUCCUCAGUCCUUCUAAUCAGUAUUGGGAGACAUUCUGAUUAGACAUUUGAAAUUGGGUAAAAAAAAAAAAGGGCUGUGGAGCCACAGGCUUGAUUUUAUCUAAUAGAGAAAAAUCAAUUAGCUAAUUUAUUUCAACCUGGUAUAUCCCUAUAAUUGACCUUCUAGAGGGAUUUCCAUUCCAUGCAUACUUGUUUCUGACCACAAACAAACAUGAAGUGCAUACAUUUUUAGAUUUCUCCCCAUUUUGUGUAAUCCUAAUUUCCAUUAUCCCCAGAUUUUGAUAUCACAGAACCAUAGUUUCAUCGCAACUGGUUAGAGAUAUGUAAGAAAAUGGAAAUGUGACAUAUCCUCAGUGGAAGAUUAUUAGUUUUCAUGACAAAGAGAAACUGGAGAGUUAUCCCUUUAAACUUGAAAGGCUUUAUUUAACUUCAUCAACCCACGAACAGAAUGCACAGGUGCAGAUGAUAGGUUGUGAGAAAUGAGGUAGCCUAGCAAGUCCAAGCAUCUGCUACAAACUGUAUCUGAAUCCCAGCUAGGUUUGGAUGAUACCUUGUCAGCACUUCUGUCAACUACUGAUGGCAAUCUUUAAAAGCUGUUAGUGAAAAUAGCUGACAACUUGUCUGUAGCAAAUGCUGGGCAAAGCAUAUUAAUCUGUGGUGAAAGCAACUGAAAGGGGGCAUUAUGUAGAGCAAACACAAAUACACAUUACUCAGCUGUAGAUUCAUUAUCCAUACAAUGUGAAAAACACUGAACCACAGCAAACAACAGAUUAAUGCAACUCAAAGAGAAUUAUCAGAGAAUACACACACCAUGCCACCUGGACCAAGGCUGAUUUGUGAAGGAGCUCACAGCAGUAGACAGCUUGGCCUCCAUGCUGCAGGAUCUACAACAGCAGACUUAUUGCACAUUUUAUGGGGAGCCUUCAUGAGCUACCGAACGUGCGCAUUGUUAGUAUCGUUGAAUUAUAUUUUAGUUACAGUUUUGUUUUUGUUAUGUGUCUGUAUGUUCUCCGUUCCUUUUUUCUACCUUGCCACAUGGUGAGGGGAAUUGAGGAAGCAAUGCCUUUGUUCACAUAGCCACAUGUUUAUUUUUUUCCCAUUUUUAUCUUUAUAGUAAAUUAUAUUUUCAUAUUGUU
Long non-coding RNA from Polyodon spathula (Mississippi paddlefish), 3831 nucleotides. RefSeq lists it as uncharacterized. The transcript has 2 exons. The record is from RefSeq and is a predicted model, not a curated record. NCBI's taxonomy places the organism in Eukaryota, Metazoa, Chordata, Actinopteri, Acipenseriformes, Polyodontidae.